AACGGUGUGCUUUGGUUCUCU
This 21-nucleotide microRNA is filed under the name Heligmosomoides polygyrus. RNAcentral's name for it is "hpo-miR-10133-3p". The record is from miRBase by way of RNAcentral. Lineage: Eukaryota; Metazoa; Nematoda; Chromadorea; Rhabditida; Heligmosomidae.